This 2079-nucleotide unclassified non-coding RNA is filed under the name Polistes dominula (European paper wasp). RNAcentral describes it as "growth arrest-specific protein 2-like, transcript variant X1". The record is from RNAcentral. Lineage: Eukaryota; Metazoa; Arthropoda; Insecta; Hymenoptera; Vespidae.
UCGGUUCUGCUUUUGCUUCCAAGAGUCCAGACUCGACACUCGGUUCGUUCGGGUAGUGUCGUUCGACAAGUUAGUUACGGGUUAACGAAGGAAUACACGUAUCGGUUAAUUCGUCUCCUCCCAAGUGUUACUUAUUCUUCUUAUUGAACGUCUGCAAAUUUACCUUCUCGUUCUUCGUUCUUCGAAUCAUCUUGAACGUUGCAACGGACGAAUCCCUUCAAGGACGACCAAGGAAGGACUUAUUCACGAACCUCUCGAAACCAGAGCGAUGUUCCUUGCGAUAUUUCGGAGACGUGUACUCGGCAGGUACGAGGGUUCGAAAAGAUCGUCGAUUGGAUAAAGCCGGAAAGUGAGUCAAAGCAACGUCGCCAUUUUCAUCUGUAAAGAAAAAUAAUUGUAAAACGUUGGAUCGGCCUGGAAGAUUGAAAGAUAAUUAAUUAUUAAAGGUGCAUUCGAUUUAGUUUACCGUAUAAUUCUGAUUAGAAGUAAGAAAAAAGAAAACAGAUAAAGAGGGAAAGCGAAAGGAAGAGUAAUUACAGGAUGUCUUUCGGUACUAAUCGAUUUCCUUCGAGCCAACACACGCGUUAUCGCAGCAGUUGGGGACCGUCUUCCGUUUCCGUGUUCGAUCGUGCAGACGUACCUAGGCCAUCUCCCGAAGAAGAGGAAUACGCCGAAUUUUAUCACGAACGAUUGCAUUCGGCUCAGAGCAGGCAACUGAUUCCGCUUCAGGAAGAUUUAGCCGACUGGAUCAACAAGACUAUAAACGUCGAUUAUAUAACGGGUGAAAAUUUUUUCGACACAUUGGAUAAUGGCGUGGUUGUUUGCCGAUUGGCUAAAGUUAUACAGGAAAAAGCUAGAUCGGCUAUCGAUGCUGGAAAAGCGAAAGGGCCAAUACCGGUGAUUAGAGGACGUUGUUGGGAAAAUGCAGCGAGACGUAGCUUCUUCUCGCGCGACAACAUGGAAAAUUUUAUACAAUUUUGUCGUCGAUUAGGGGUACAUGAAAAUCUUCUAUUCGAAAGCGACGAUCUUGUCUUACAUGGUCAACCUCGGAACGUAGUACUCUGUUUAUUGGAAGUUGCAAGAUUAGCAGCAAGGUAUUCCUUGGAACCACCUGGUCUCGUCCAAUUGGAAAGAGAAAUCGCUGAACAAGAACAAGAUUUGCGUUGUCUUUCGGACAGCGGAAUUUCUCAUAGCAGUCUCGUUUCCUGGCAAUUCGCUCCUUCGAAAAUGUCAACGCUUCGACCGCAAACGGAAAAGAUUAAACACAGUAGUUCAACGUCUGAAGUGGCAGAGAUGACGACUGGUUGGUUGGAUCCGACAACGGGUAAUAAUCACGAGCCUGAAAUGAGACGAUCGAUUAGCGAUAAUGGGCCAGCCGGUAGCGAUGGAAUAAAUAGCGAUACCACGGAAGAUGAUUGGUCACGUGGUAGCGUUGAUGAUCCCGAUGACGUUACUUCGCCAUUACCCUCGUUAACUAGUUCACCAUCUCCAACCCAAUCACCUGCAGAUCCUCCGGAAUAUGCCGGACCUAUCACUGAACUCGAUCGCAAGGUGCGACGAGUUACGGAAGCUGUACAGAGGCUUUGCCAAUGUCCGUCUGGUAAAUGUUCCAGAUUGAAAGUACGAAAAGUUGGAGAAGGCCGAUAUCACAUAGCAGGACGCAACGUAUUCAUUAGGCUUUUGAAAGGAAGACACAUGAUGGUGAGAGUGGGCGGUGGGUGGGACACCUUGGAGCACUUCUUGGCGAGGCAUGACCCCUGUCAGGUGAGGGCUCUCAACCAAGAUGGUACACCACCCCCUACCCCAUCGUCUAUUUCAAAAGGCAGAAAGCACCGCGACAAUGACUUCCUACGCAUUCACGCCAAGUAUCGUGGUAUUUCCUUGGAACCCGUCCCCAUAUCUGUCUCCGGGCGCUAGCCUAAAAGCCAACAUCAACGGCAACGCCAGCAGCAAGCACGGCAUCAUCGCUCGCACUCCUCGACCCUGCAUAUCACAAAUACAAGGGCAUGGUGUGCAAAGGGAUACCAAAGCAAAGAAAUAUCCGACGAGUAUUGUCGGCACGUUGAUAGGCUAAUUUAA